AGUGAACGCUGGCGGUAGGCCUAACACAUGCCAGUCGAACGGCAGCACAGUAAGAGCUUGCUCUUACGAGUGGCGAGUGGCGGACGGGUGAGGAAUACAUCGGAAUCUACUUUUUCGUGGGGGAUAACGUAGGGAAACUUACGCUAAUACCGCAUACGACCUACGGGUGAAAGCAGGGGAUCUUCGGACCUUGCGCGAUUGAAUGAGCCGAUGUCGGAUUAACUAGUUGGCGGGGUAAAGGCCCACCAAGGCGACGAUCCGUAGCUGGUCUGAGAGGAUGAUCAGCCACACUGGAACUGAGACACGGUCCAGACUCCUACGGGAGGCAGCAGUGGGGAAUAUUGGACAAUGGGCGCAAGCCUGAUCCAGCCAUACCGCGUGGGUGAAGAAGGCCUUCGGGUUGUAAAGCCCUUUUGUUGGGAAAGAAAAGCAGCAGGUUAAUACCCCGCUGUUCUGACGGUACCCAAAGAAUAAGCACCGGCUAACUUCGUG
This 492-nucleotide ribosomal RNA is filed under the name uncultured bacterium. Its description in RNAcentral is "partial 16S ribosomal RNA". It matches the Rfam family "Bacterial small subunit ribosomal RNA", at positions 29 to 507 of the family's 1533-position model. The record is from RNAcentral.